Non-coding RNA from Zonotrichia albicollis (white-throated sparrow), 575 nucleotides. NCBI's taxonomy places the organism in Eukaryota, Metazoa, Chordata, Aves, Passeriformes, Passerellidae. The record is from RefSeq and is a predicted model, not a curated record.
AUCUCUUGUGUGUCUUGCAUCCAUGAGUUCAUCCUCAUUAAACACAAUUAAAGAUAGCAGAGUGAGAGAAGCACUUUGAUUUCAGAGGAUAAAAUUAACUGUAACAUCAUGAACAUAAAACAGGGUGAAACACAGCAAGAAAAAGAUGCCAAGAAUGGAUUCACUUGAAUUCAACAAAGGUCUCAUCACAGGGCAGCAUACCCAAAUCCAUAAACUGAUAAUGUGGAGUCAAGCAAGGAAGGAGUUAAUAUCUGUGAUAGGAAGAGUCAGCCUCAACUGUCCCUGGAGCCACCUGGUACCUAUUAAGGAGUAGUUAUGAGAGACAGGUCUUACUGAAGGAUGACAAAUCAUAUGAAGUUCCAGUUGUGGGGAAAGGUGCAGGGUGACAGCUUCUGCCAGGUUUCCCCUGGAGGACCCAUGGUAGCAGUAGUGUGAGAUCUGUAGGUGAGAGGACAGAGCACUUCUACAUAUUCAGCUCUUACCUGCAGGAUCAUUUUCCUGAGCUAGCCUUUGUUAUUGCAAUUUUCAUAGCAAGUGGCCAGCUCAGGAUGAAGAUCCUUUUUGACUCCUGAAUU